This 301-nucleotide ribosomal RNA is filed under the name uncultured bacterium. Its description in RNAcentral is "partial 16S ribosomal RNA". It matches the Rfam family "Bacterial small subunit ribosomal RNA", at positions 509 to 808 of the family's 1533-position model. The record is from RNAcentral.
CAGUACCACGGUAAUACGGAGGGUGCAAGCGUUAAUCGGAAUUACUGGGCGUAAAGCGCACGCAGGCGGUUUGUUAAGUCAGAUGUGAAAUCCCCGAGCUUAACUUGGGAACUGCAUUUGAAUCUGGCAAGCUAGAGUCUUGUAGAGGGGGGUAGAAUUCCAGGUGUAGCGGUGAAAUGCGUAGAGAUCUGGAGGAAUACCGGUGGCGAAGGCGGCCCCCUGGACAAAGACUGACGCUCAGGUGCGAAAGCGUGGGGAGCAAACAGGAUUAGAUACCCGGGUAGUCCCUGUCUCUUAUACA